This 1382-nucleotide ribosomal RNA is filed under the name Escherichia coli. RNAcentral describes it as "partial 23S ribosomal RNA". It matches the Rfam family "Bacterial large subunit ribosomal RNA", at positions 1273 to 2640 of the family's 2925-position model. Lineage: Bacteria; Pseudomonadati; Pseudomonadota; Gammaproteobacteria; Enterobacterales; Enterobacteriaceae. The record is from RNAcentral.
CUGGAGGUAUCAGAAGUGCGAAUGCUGACAUAAGUAACGAUAAAGCGGGUGAAAAGCCCGCUCGCCGGAAGACCAAGGGUUCCUGUCCAACGUUAAUCGGGGCAGGGUGAGUCGACCCCUAAGGCGAGGCCGAAAGGCGUAGUCGAUGGGAAACAGGUUAAUAUUCCUGUACUUGGUGUUACUGCGAAGGGGGGACGGAGAAGGCUAUGUUGGCCGGGCGACGGUUGUCCCGGUUUAAGCGUGUAGGCUGGUUUUCCAGGCAAAUCCGGAAAACUAAGGCUGAGGCGUGAUGACGAGGCACUACGGUGCUGAAGCAACAAAUGCCCUGCUUCCAGGAAAAGCCUCUAAGCAUCAGGUAACAUCAAAUCGUACCCCAAACCGACACAGGUGGUCAGGUAGAGAAUACCAAGGCGCUUGAGAGAACUCGGGUGAAGGAACUAGGCAAAAUGGUGCCGUAACUUCGGGAGAAGGCACGCUGAUAUGUAGGUGAAGUCCCUCGCGGAUGGAGCUGAAAUCAGUCGAAGAUACCAGCUGGCUGCAACUGUUUAUUAAAAACACAGCACUGUGCAAACACGAAAGUGGACGUAUACGGUGUGACGCCUGCCCGGUGCCGGAAGGUUAAUUGAUGGGGUCAGCGCAAGCGAAGCUCUUGAUCGAAGCCCCGGUAAACGGCGGCCGUAACUAUAACGGUCCUAAGGUAGCGAAAUUCCUUGUCGGGUAAGUUCCGACCUGCACGAAUGGCGUAAUGAUGGCCAGGCUGUCUCCACCCGAGACUCAGUGAAAUUGAACUCGCUGUGAAGAUGCAGUGUACCCGCGGCAAGACGGAAAGACCCCGUGAACCUUUACUAUAGCUUGACACUGAACAUUGAGCCUUGAUGUGUAGGAUAGGUGGGAGGCUUUGAAGUGUGGACGCCAGUCUGCAUGGAGCCGACCUUGAAAUACCACCCUUUAAUGUUUGAUGUUCUAACGUUGACCCGUAAUCCGGGUUGCGGACAGUGUCUGGUGGGUAGUUUGACUGGGGCGGUCUCCUCCUAAAGAGUAACGGAGGAGCACGAAGGUUGGCUAAUCCUGGUCGGACAUCAGGAGGUUAGUGCAAUGGCAUAAGCCAGCUUGACUGCGAGCGUGACGGCGCGAGCAGGUGCGAAAGCAGGUCAUAGUGAUCCGGUGGUUCUGAAUGGAAGGGCCAUCGCUCAACGGAUAAAAGGUACUCCGGGGAUAACAGGCUGAUACCGCCCAAGAGUUCAUAUCGACGGCGGUGUUUGGCACCUCGAUGUCGGCUCAUCACAUCCUGGGGCUGAAGUAGGUCCCAAGGGUAUGGCUGUUCGCCAUUUAAAGUGGUACGCGAGCUGGGUUUAGAACGUCGUGAGACAGUUCGGUCCCUA